Long non-coding RNA from Pelobates fuscus (common spadefoot toad), 601 nucleotides. RefSeq lists it as uncharacterized. The record is from RefSeq and is a predicted model, not a curated record. Lineage: Eukaryota; Metazoa; Chordata; Amphibia; Anura; Pelobatidae. The transcript has 2 exons.
CAGAACUUCAACAACCAGGAUCCCUUGCGUGGACCACAAUCCACUUCCUGUCUGGUUGAACUGCAGCCCCUACGUGCAGUGUAAUAGUUACCCAGUAAUAAAUGUAAAAGCUUUUGCUGUGAUAUGGCUAGCCCAAAAACAGCUGAAAAUGGAAAGACCGAAAGUGCAAAAAAAAACCACAGUGAUCGUGGUAAAAUGACAAAAAAAAAAUCAUCUAAGGUAGACCGUAAUAAAAUGGCGGCCACUCAGAGGCCUGCAUGUAUGGAAGCUGAGAUUGGUUUUCCUAAAUUCCCAAAGUAUCGCAAAGCAAAUAAACGGUAUAAAUGCCCAGAUUGUGGGAAAUGGUUUUCUCAUGGCUCACACUUUGAACAGCACCAGAAAGCCCAUUCAGGAAAGACUUUGUAUACAUGCUACGAAUGUGGAAAACAAUUUUCCCGGAAGAGUCAACUUGACCGGCACCAGAAAACACACACCAGACAGUUUAACGCUACAGUGAAGUCAAAAUCAUUGAAGAGGAGUGAACUAAACCUGGAAUGACCUGACUGAACUCAGGAUUGUUGUAAUUAAAUUUUUGAUUCAAUUAAAGUAUUUUUUUUCGUAA